This 120-nucleotide ribosomal RNA is filed under the name Danio rerio (zebrafish). The record is from RNAcentral. Lineage: Eukaryota; Metazoa; Chordata; Actinopteri; Cypriniformes; Danionidae.
ACCUGUUGUUUAGUCAAAAUUGGGGCUAAAACCAUGCAGCCUGAACUCGGCAUAAGCAAGGUUGAGUCUGGUCAGUACAUGGAUGGGAGACCACAUGGGAAAACUAGGUUACAGUUGGUA